CGGCGAUUUUUUUUCGGGGAUGGGGGGGUUGGCUGCAACGCCCAGGCACAGGGAAUUCCUGGGAACGCUGACUUCACGCUACUCCUCUUGCUGCUCUGUCCUCCGGCCAAGGCCCAGGCCAGCCAUGGGGGCCGAGGUUCUCAUGGAGUGGUGAGCGGAGGCCUGGGGCUUGCAGACUCUCCGGGCUCCUGGGCUGCUGCCCGUGCCCCAGGCAGCUGCUCAGGAGCUGGGGGAGGUGGAGGACGGCCAGGCAGCAGGUCUGGCAGUUUCUUGGCAGAGUUUGACUACAAUCAAACCGUCUCCACAAAACAUCGCGAUGAGCCAGCACAUUCCAAUGGGGAAAUGUCUUGUCUAAGUGUUUCUGACCAACUCUCGUGCGGCGGCUUUCUCACUUUUCCUCCUGGCUGUGUUUCUGAAGGAAAAAGCUCUUCAAGUACACAGCCCUGGCUGGCGAUGCUGCAGGUGGGACUGUGCUGUCUCAGCUCCGGGGUCCCACUCCAGGCCCUUCAUCUAGGCUCUGACACACCUUGGGAGAACCCUACCAGUGCUGUGCUGAACUGCCCAAGGAGCCCUAAACAGACAAGAGGGGAAGAAGGUGUGGGUGCCUCAUGGCUUGAGCAGCCCCACCUUGUAGCUGAGCACUGCAAGGAGCAAACCCUGAGAAGCCAACCACACCAGGCAGCAGGAGACCCCCAGAAGACCCCCUGAGACCUUCAGCACUGCUACCAUGGGGGAACUGGAUGGGAUGGGGCCAGGAGGAGAGAUACUUUUUGGGCUGAAAGCGGAUUUCCCCACAUAGCUGCAUGGAGGAUGCUGUGCUUAGGAUGGUGGUCCUGUUUCCUGCCCUCGGCAAACUGACCCUGACCGGGACGUGUGAGGGGGGAUGCGCCCCCCCAUAGCCCCCCGCUGCAGGCAGCUGAUGAGGUGUGAUGUGCUGGGGGCCAGUGGCAGCACGCAGCCUCUCCCUCUGCAGCGCCCUUCCUGCGCGUGCGGCCCGAGUAAAAACACCUGGAGCCAAUUUCCAGCCCCAGAAAAUAAAUAAAAAAAAAGGCGAGGCAUUUGAAGCCUCACUCGGUAAACAA
This is a non-coding RNA of Anas platyrhynchos (mallard), 1082 nucleotides long. NCBI's taxonomy places the organism in Eukaryota, Metazoa, Chordata, Aves, Anseriformes, Anatidae. The record is from RefSeq and is a predicted model, not a curated record.